Molecule: ribosomal RNA, 273 nt
Filed under: uncultured bacterium
Lineage: Bacteria
Description: partial 16S ribosomal RNA
Rfam family: Bacterial small subunit ribosomal RNA
Source: RNAcentral
UACGUAGGGUGCAAGCGUUAAUCGGAAUUACUGGGCGUAAAGCGUGCGCAGGCGGCUUUGCAAGACAGAUGUGAAAUCCCCGGGCUCAACCUGGGAACUGCAUUUGUGACUGCAUGGCUGGAGUGCGGCAGAGGGGGAUGGAAUUCCGCGUGUAGCAGUGAAAUGCGUAGAUAUGCGGAGGAACACCGAUGGCGAAGGCAAUCCCCUGGGCCUGCACUGACGCUCAUGCACGAAAGCGUGGGGAGCAAACAGGAUGAGAUAACCCCGUAGUCC